This is a long non-coding RNA of Ictalurus punctatus (channel catfish), 1677 nucleotides long. RefSeq lists it as uncharacterized. The record is from RefSeq and is a predicted model, not a curated record. The transcript is spliced from 2 exons. Lineage: Eukaryota; Metazoa; Chordata; Actinopteri; Siluriformes; Ictaluridae.
CUCUAAACAUGGACCGUGACUAUAACUAUGAUACGCGUUAAACUAGCUCUAAACAUUUAAUCUUCCGCGUUGUGUGCUGGGAGGCGCGCGGUAUAUAUGCGGACAUAAACAGCGUCUAAACCGCUAGCAGCUGAGAGCAAUUCAGACCCACGUGAAAUCCCAGCCAAUGACAGAACAGGGAGGAGACAGAAACAUAAACAAAACACACGUGUCCAGAUAUCAUUACAGUCAACAACGGAAAAGCAGGUGCUCGCGCAUUCGCGAUUAGAGCACGCUGCUUCAAGGGGGAAUCGUGACACCCAGGCCCUGAAGCAGCAAAGCAUCCCCACACCACCACAAUGCUUGACCGUAGGUAUUAUGUUCUUUUUGUGGAAUCUUGUGUUUGUUUAAUGCCAGAUGUAGCAGGACCCCUGUCUUCCAAACAAUUCCGCUUUCAAAUCAUCAAUCUAUGGAACAUUCUCCCUAAAAGAUUUGAACAUCAUCAAGAUGUGUUUUGGCAAAAUUCAGAUGAGCCUUAAUAUUCUUCUAGGUUAGCAAUCAUUUUCACCUCACAAUUCUUCCAUGGAUGUCAUUUUUGCCCUGUGUCUUUCUGAUAGUGGAAUCAAGAACUCCACUGACCUUUCUUGAAAAACCAGAGUUUUUCCAUUUGGAGAUAAUGGCCCCCAACUGUGGUUCUUUGGAGUCCCAGAGCCUUUGAAAUAGCUUUGUAACCCUUCCCAGACUGAUGUAAUUCAAUCACCUUUUCCCUCAUCAUUUCUGGAAUUUCUUUCAACUUUGGCAUAGUAUGUUACUAGCAUGAAGCAGUGAACAGUGCGACUAUGAGGAAGGCCUCCCUUCCACCAAGUGAUUGGCUACUCUGCUUGUCUACAUAUGCUGUCAGGCCAUGAAAGGCUCCUGAAUGCAACAUAACUCUGUGUGCUCACGGGAUGUGCUGAUCUGCUCACAGAUAUCCUUAUAUUCAUCUUUAUGACUGAAUCUAUGACUUCUCCCUGCAUGUUUCACCCCCAUGCCAGUGCCAAAAAAGGUCUCCUGUCCUGUCUCAAUGAUUACUGGCCAUAGCACUCACCCAAUCAUCAUGAAGUGCUUUGAGAGUCUAGUCAUGAGGCACAUAAAGAUCAAACUCCAUCUCUUUGGACCCCCUGCAGUUUUCUUGGCACCACAUCAGCUCUAAGGUCACAUCCAAGGUCCCCAGGGCUCAUCCCGAACAAAAACGCAACUUAAGUGGGAUUGCUCUUCUUUGACUUUACUUCAGUAUCAGAAACAACAAUGAUACAAAAGCUGAGGUCUGAACACCCUGCAGCUUGAUCAUAUGUUUCCUAAACUUGAGAACUCAGACAAAUUACACAUAACCUCCAGCAACACCAAACAGAAUCCUGAAGCCCCACAACCGUGUCAUGUGUUUUCUAUUCAUACUGUACUUAACUUUACCAAGAGGUUUUCGACUGACUUAAUCCCAGUCCCAUGUUUUUACCUGUGCGUCUUCCUUUUUCCAACUAUCCUUCAGUUGCGAAAAAAAAAGUUGACACUCAGCUGUCAGUAGACCUUGGUUCAAACAUGUGUGCCACAGCUCCAAAAAUAUAUGGCAUCUCAUUGUCUUGAUAGAUGUGGCUGAAGGCAGUGUUGAUAAAAGCUCCACAACUGAAAAAAUGCUCUCAUUAAACUCUUCAUUGUUCUCCA